Molecule: ribosomal RNA, 253 nt
Filed under: uncultured bacterium
Lineage: Bacteria
Description: partial 16S ribosomal RNA
Rfam family: Bacterial small subunit ribosomal RNA
Source: RNAcentral
UACGUAGGAUGCAAGCGUUGUCCGGAAUUAUUGGGCGUAAAGAGCUCGUAGGCGGUUUGUCGCGUCUGCCGUGAAAGUCCGGGGCUCAACUCCGGAUCUGCGGUGGGUACGGGCAGACUAGAGUGAUGUAGGGGAGACUGGAAUUCCUGGUGUAGCGGUGAAAUGCGCAGAUAUCAGGAGGAACACCGAUGGCGAAGGCAGGUCUCUGGGCAUUAACUGACGCUGAGGAGCGAAAGCAUGGGGAGCGAACAGG